Long non-coding RNA from Canis lupus familiaris (dog), 1826 nucleotides. RefSeq lists it as uncharacterized. The record is from RefSeq and is a predicted model, not a curated record. The transcript has 4 exons. Lineage: Eukaryota; Metazoa; Chordata; Mammalia; Carnivora; Canidae.
GCCUCCGGCGGGGGCGGGGCCCUCGGCCUCCACCGCGCGCUGUCCUUUGCUCAGAGGGGCUUUAAUUUGGGAAAGCGGUUUCGGGGUCUUUGUCCGCCUCCCUUUUUAAAGUGUCGUGAUCUCUAUGAACUUAAGCUGCGAGGUGGGAAUCUUUGGUUCUGCUAUUUCUACUUUGAGAUUUCUUUGCGGCAGAAAACAGGACUCAAGAAAAACUGCUGUUUUUCCUCGGAGUAUGAGUCUCUCAGUCGGAAUAGCAGCCCAGACCCGCAAGCAGGCAAGAGAGAACACAAACAGGAAGAGCAGCAGAGAGAGGGAGAAGCAGGCUCCCAGCGGGGACUGGAUCCCAGGACCCUGGCAUCAGGACCCUCAAAGGCAGAUGUUUAACUGACUGAGCCACCCAGGCUCCCCAAGAUGUUAAGUUUGAAAGAAGACAGACAGAGGAUAUUCUUCGAAGGGUCCUGCUUUAAUCUUCCCUGAAGGAAGUAAAAGAAAACACCUUCUUACUGUCUAACGAAAACGCCACAUCAGUUUAUUCAGGAAGACAAACUUUCUCCCUGUAGUCAAUCUUAGAAAAUAAUUCAUUGUAUAGCUCUUUAUUUAAAAGACAUCAAAUUAUAGAAUUCACUCAUUCAUUCACUACAAGCCAUGUACUCAUUCAGGCCUAUAGCAUGCCCUGCCCAAGGCACUGCAUAUAAAAUAUAAAUUUAUACUGCAUAUAAAACCAGUAAAGUCUCUGGCUUCAUGAAACUUACUUUCUAGAAAACAGGGCAACUGUUUUAGUGAUUUUACAAAAACUGCAGGAAUAAUUUUCAUGUGGAUGUUUUUCCUUUGUCGACUCUUAAUAUAGCUAAUUAUAAUCUGGCAAAGGUAUUACUGUUGAGAGCUAAAUUUGACAUUAAGUUUACCAAAUAUAUAGAAACUGAGGGUUGGGUAGCCUUUAGGCAACAUAUCUCAAAUAUCAGUGCACUUUUUAAAAUAGGUAGAUUAAAGUCACUUUCAAAUUGAGGUCUCUGGUAGGUGACAAAAGGACAGUAUUCUGGGCUGGUGAUUACAAAGCUCUGUUCAAUGAAAUGGCCAAGGAAUAAUACUACUCCACCACAUGAGCCUCAUGAUAUGCACUCCUAAUGCCUACAUUUUUGGGUCUAGUACUAUUUUUCACUUGAAGGAAACGCAAUAUGCCUUAGAAAAAUGGCUGAUUCAUGUCUGGGUCUGGGAAGAUACAGGUAGUCCUGAGGGGAUGGCAAGAAUGAGUUGGGAGUCAAAUGGCUUGGCGUGGCUGAUGAAGAAUAAACUUUUGAGUUCCAGAGAGCAGCCUGAGAGGGAAGAGGAGAAAAAUCAGAGCAAAUGGGGAGAGAGGAGCUGAGCUCAAGGGUAAGGACAAGGUGGGUGGGGGGACCCUGUGCGGAGGAGCCUGUGAAAACUUCCUGUUGUUGGGAAUGGCUGGAUCAGUGGAACAGGGAGAUGGGAUGUUCGCGGGAGUUCGUCCUGCAGUGUUCCCCUCUCUAUCAGCACCAUCCUGCUGUCCUUGGAAAAUGAACCUGAGCUGUGGUUUAGGUCCUACCUGAGGCGGGAGAGACUGAGGGAGGGAAGAGUCGGGCGCCAGGCCCAACUGCCCAGGAAUUGAGCCGCUCCAAGCGAGUGAGGUGUUGACUGGAACCAGGGGAGGCAACAGGUUCAAGGGAGACCCGGGCAUCAGGGCCAGUCGGAGUGGGAGCCAAGUGGAGGGAGGGCGAGACCUUCACAGGAGGGACGAGGUCAGACAGUUGGGGCGGCGCUGGGCAGGAGGGAGUGAAGGGGGUGGAGAGCGAGGGGCGGUCACGUUGAGA